GAGUUUGAUCUUGGCUCAGGAUGAACGCUAGCGGCAGGCCUAAUACAUGCAAGUCGAGGGGCAGCGCGGGUAGCAAUACCUGGCGGCGACCGGCGCACGGGUGCGUAACGCGUAUGCAAUCUGCCUUGUACUAAGGGAUAGCCCAGAGAAAUUUGGAUUAAUACCUUAUAGUAUAUAGAUGUGGCAUCACAUUUAUAUUAAAGAUUUAUCGGUACAAGAUGAGCAUGCGUCCCAUUAGCUAGUUGGUAUGGUAACGGCAUACCAAGGCAAUGAUGGGUAGGGGUCCUGAGAGGGAGAUCCCCCACACUGGUACUGAGACACGGACCAGACUCCUACGGGAGGCAGCAGUGAGGAAUAUUGGUCAAUGGGCGCAAGCCUGAACCAGCCAUGCCGCGUGCAGGAUGAAGCAUCUAUGGUGUGUAAACUGCUUUUGUACGGGAAGAAACAGCUCUUCGUGAAGAGCCUUGACGGUACCGUAAGAAUAAGGAUCGGC
Molecule: ribosomal RNA, 493 nt
Filed under: uncultured Flavobacterium sp.
Lineage: Bacteria; Pseudomonadati; Bacteroidota; Flavobacteriia; Flavobacteriales; Flavobacteriaceae
Description: bacterial SSU rRNA
Rfam family: Bacterial small subunit ribosomal RNA
Source: RNAcentral